RNAcentral lists this ribosomal RNA (489 nucleotides) under uncultured bacterium. Its description in RNAcentral is "bacterial SSU rRNA". It matches the Rfam family "Bacterial small subunit ribosomal RNA", at positions 28 to 506 of the family's 1533-position model. The record is from RNAcentral.
GAUGAACGCUAGCGACAGGCUUAACACAUGCAAGUCGAGGGGCAGCAUAGAAGUAGCAAUACUUUGGUGGCGACCGGCGCACGGGUGAGUAACGCGUAUGCAACCUACCUAUCAGAGGGGAAUAACCCGGCGAAAGUCGGACUAAUACCGCAUAAAACAGGGGCACCGCAUGGUGAUAUUUGUUAAAGAAAUUCGCUGAUAGAUGGGCAUGCGUUCCAUUAGGUAGUUGGUGAGGUAACGGCUCACCAAGCCGACGAUGGAUAGGGGAACUGAGAGGUUGGUCCCCCACACUGGUACUGAGACACGGACCAGACUCCUACGGGAGGCAGCAGUGAGGAAUAUUGGACAAUGGGCGCAAGCCUGAUCCAGCCAUGCCGACGUGCAGGAAGAAGCAUCUAUGGUGUGGUAAACUGCUUUUGGUACAGGAAGAAACUACUCCCUCGUGAGGGAGCUUGACGGUACUGUAAGAUAAGGAUCGGCUAACUCCGU